This 445-nucleotide ribosomal RNA is filed under the name uncultured bacterium. RNAcentral describes it as "partial 16S ribosomal RNA". It matches the Rfam family "Bacterial small subunit ribosomal RNA", at positions 354 to 796 of the family's 1533-position model. The record is from RNAcentral.
GUGAGGAAUAUUGGACAAUGGGCGCAAGCCUGAUCCAGCCAUGCCGCGUGCAGGAAGACGCAUCUAUGGUGUGUAAACUGCUUUUGUACGGGAAGAAACACUCCCUCGUGAGGGAGCUUGACGGUACCGUAAGAAUAAGGAUCGGCUAACUCCGUGCCAGCAGCCGCGGUAAUACGGAGGAUCCAAGCGUUAUCCGGAAUCAUUGGGUUUAAAGGGUCCGUAGGCGGUUUAAUAAGUCAGUGGUGAAAGCCCAUCGCUCAACGAUGGAACGGCCAUUGAUACUGUUAGACUUGAAUUACAAGGAAGUAACUAGAAUAUGUAGUGUAGCGGUGAAAUGCUUAGAUAUUACAUGGAAUACCAAUUGCGAAGGCAUGUUACUACUUGUGGAUUGACGCUGAUGGACGAAAGCGUGGGGAGCGAACAGGAUUAGAUACCCGGGUAGUCC